RNAcentral lists this long non-coding RNA (990 nucleotides) under Homo sapiens (human). RNAcentral describes it as "HSALNT0142915". The record is from RNAcentral. Lineage: Eukaryota; Metazoa; Chordata; Mammalia; Primates; Hominidae.
CUUGAAUUCAUCUGGCACUGUUGACCAACACAGAGAGCCAAAACACACACGGAAUUCAAAAUCAGAAAUAAUCCCAAGUUUGAGUCAUCCAAUGUGCUUGUCUACAUUGAUUGCACUCACCAGAUAAAAGUCCAAUGCACUCUGUGGGGUGAAACAGCCUCUGUCUCAGGUUGGGAGUUGCUGCCAUGGAGACCACAAGAGUGGAGAUUUUCUGACACACAGAAAGGAAUGGAUUACAGCUCCUUCUUAUGUAAAUUUCCAUGGAGGGGAAAAAAGAUUAAAAGGAAAAUAAUUCUGCUUUAGUCGUUUUCCUUUAAGGUGAUAAGAUCCUUUGAUUCCAUCGUGGAGAAGAAGGCAACAGCUGUUUGUCACAAAUGUGGGAAGCUGCUUCUUGGGCAGGGUGGAUUUCCAUCUGCGUCUCCUUUUCGGUGUUGAAAGCUGAUGGGAAAUGUGCCAACGUCACAACAAGGUUUGAGGGAGGCACAUCUCAUGCUCGGACAUGAACACCCGAUCAUCAUGCUUAUGAACUACAAAAGGAUCUCCAGUAUGGGCUCACGGCAGUUGGCCCUUGAAUAACAUGAAUUUGAACUGCCUGAGUCUGCUAAUAUGUGGAUUAUCUUCUGCUUCUGCACCCUGAGACAGCAAGACCAACCCUUCCUCUUGCUUCUUUUCCUUAGCCUAUUCAACGUGAAGAUGACUAAGGUGUCUGCUGGAAGCGAGGGAGUCAGCCAUGCAAGUAUCUGGAGGACAAACAUCCCAGUCAGAGGGUUCAGCAAAUGCAAGAUCCCUGAUGUUGGAAUGAGGUCUGUUCCACAUUAUCUUCACUCUAGGACCCAAGCUGAUAAAGCAGCUCCCUCUGGAGCUAUUGAUGGUCUCAUGGAAGAGACAAAAAAAGAUCACAGUGAAUCACAUUCUGCUUCUGAACUCUUCUGCCUGGAAGUGACAAACAUCAUUUCCAUCACAUUUCACUGACCAAAGCAAGUCAUGAGU